UAUAUCUGCGACAAAUACAAUCCUCAGAUUUCUUAAAAAAAAUAAUAAUUCAUGCCACAAUCAAUACAAAAUCAAAAACUUCAUUAUGCAAGAUGAACAAUUCAAGGUAUGGAGUGACAGUCUGCAACUACAUAUAUAUUUACUUCAUACAGUAAUGAAAAUGCGACUCUGUAGCCAGCAGAUGAGUGUUAAGAAAAAGAAAGACAAGCAGUUCCUGUAUGGGGCCCUGCUGAAGCCUUCUUACAUAAAAGAAAACAGUAAGUUGUGUUGAUUCCCGGACCAAAGACAAAAGAAUUACUCAUAUAAGGUAUCAAAAAUGUGAAUCAGUGUAUGUAAAUCUGGAACAAAAACACCAGAAUACCCACCACUGUAUAUUGUUGCUCUUUAACAAGGCUGGUAUGGUAAAGGGGUAAGAAGGUAAAAAAAAAAUCAUCAACUAUUAGGUCUUUAGGUAUCAUAGAGACACGGAUGAUGAAGCAAGC
Molecule: long non-coding RNA, 482 nt
Filed under: Aquilegia coerulea
Lineage: Eukaryota; Viridiplantae; Streptophyta; Magnoliopsida; Ranunculales; Ranunculaceae
Description: long non-coding RNA (ACOE_LNC000798)
Source: RNAcentral